AACAGCGUGCGUGGUUUUUGUAUGUGCUUGGCGUGCAUUUGUGGAAAGGUGUGUACUGGUUAGGAACUGUUUUCAACAGGGCUGGAGAUGUGAUGUGAGGCUUUCUAUGUAUGUGUAGGUGCAUACAGGAAUUGGUAUGGACGUAUAUUUAUGUAUAUAUAAAUUAUACAUAUAUAUGCAGUAGUACCACAGUAUCACGGAAGAUAGUGCUGAAGGAAUCUGGAGAGUGAGGCCAACAGGAUUCAGCAGAGCGUGGCCCUGCAUAUGGCUGGCUGAACUCAUCUCUGUAGCUGUAAGACUGCGUGUAGCUGGCGUGAGGAAAGAAUAUCUUUAGCUGCAAGUGCUGACACUAACCGGCCCCAUCGGAUCCAUACAGAAGUUACAUAUAUAAAUCCUCCGGCGUCUGCAGGAGAACAAAUCUAGAAGGCCUCUGCUUUGCUGUUAUUCUGCAUGAAGGAUUCUCCUUGGCUUGAACAGGAAUUCUGUGCAUGGAGCUGUAGAAAAACUAAGCCUGUAAAAUAUUGGUAACCUUGACUCUAAUUUCAGAUUGAAAAUUAUAUAAUGAACAUUUAUAAGUAGUUUAUACCUAGAAAGAAGACUGGCGUUCUAUCUGCCUGCCGUAUAUUCUUUAAUAAACAUGUAAGAGUUUAGAGACUGUUGACAUUGCAGACAGAGUUGAUAACCUGGUUUAGAGACGUAUUUCUGGAUAUGCAACUAAAGUAUACUGAUGGCUUUCAGAUGCCCUAUGCUGAGGUUAUAAAAGCACAGGUAGGUUAGGAAAUUUUGGUGGCGAGUGUUUAAUGUUGAAGAAAAGACAGGCAAAAAUGGAACUUAAAUAUAUCUGAUGAACACAAAUAUCACAGCUGAGAUUUAAUUUUGACUGCAUUAUUAAUUUGUCUCAGAGUGUUCAAGGUAGCCUAGUAAAAUAUUUCAGACUUUUGUUUGCAUUAUUUAAUGUUAGACAUUGAUCGGAAGCUGGGGGUGGUUAAAGAAAGUGGGUGGAAGAGAUUAUUGGACUAGUUUCAGGCUAUUUUGUUUCAGCUAGAUAUUUGGUAUGCAUGAACAUAGCUAGACCCUUUUGCUAUCUAUUUCGCUCUGUACUCCACUCUCAAAUGAUUUAUAAUGUUUGAAUCCCUUCCCCUGUUUAGCCCAGUGCAGUAUUACAGCAAAGAAUAUAUCGGUGCUGAUUUUGAAUAGCAUUUCACAACCAGCUCUGUUGCUUGCUUCUUUUUCUGUAUGGGCAUUGCGUAUCACUUGGAGAAUGAUGAACUAAAAGUAAUGAGUGGUGAUGUGGUGUUGCUGUAAUUUUUUGUGCAGCUUGAAAUGCAGAUCUGGGCUGACCUGGAUCAGGGUAUGUGAUAAAAAGCUCACCCCACCCCCCCCUCCCAGAAGAGCACAGAGACAUGAGCCCCUGCCCCGACCUCCCCAGGGCUGUCCCAGGAGAGCAUCAGCCCCAGAGGCCAGGUGAGACCCAGCACCAUGAGUCCCUGGGGGGGGUGUUCUCCGGGGCACCACACAGACUGGGGGGUCCCUGCCCUGGGGGACAGUGCUCAUUAUGGGAUGCAGGGAAAGAGCAUGCUGGGAUUGUGUGAGACUUAUUAUGGGAUGUUUAGGGGAGGAACCAAAGGUGGGGAAAUGAAGAGAUCAGGGUGGUUUUGGGAGGAACAAAUGUGCAAAAAUGGAGAGAUAAGAAGAUAAAGGGGAGUAGUCACCUGUUGACAAUUUGCUGGUCGGUACCUUGUCUGCAUUUCAGAUGGUGGGCUACAUUUUUCAGCACUAUGCAUCUAUAGUUUGCUUAGUUUGAUGCUCUUGAAUGUUCUGCUGCUUACCUAUUUAUUGUUUUGAUGGGUAGCAAAAUUUGUUGGCAUGGUAUGUACACUACUUCUGAUUCUAAACUGUUCUGUGAUUAUUGUUUUUUACAUGAAAAUAUAGAAUGUAUAACAUUACCCAUUGGCAUGAAUGGACUAAAUGAACUAUUGUUUUAAGGCCUCCAAUUUCAGUUAUUAAGAAUUAAGUACUUCAAUAAAUAGAACAUACAGUAUUACUAUCCAGAGGCACUAAUUUUUUAUUUUGCAUACUGUGCCAAUUUAUCACAUAUAAACAAUUUCUGUCAUCAAGUUCCUGUGAUUUUUUUCCUCUGAUGUAUUUUUAUUGCCUUAGGAAUUCCAGUUUCCUAUGAAGGUGUUAGCUACCUUUCUGAAACAGUAAUCAGUUGCAUUUUUUAUUUCAGACAUAGUGUCUAUCCAUAUAUGUGUUUGUCAUUAUUAUAGAAACAAAGAAAAAUGGACUGUAGUGUAUUGUCUUACUGAAUGUAUGACUGUAUGCAUCUCAGUCUAUUUGUCUUUUUAAGAAAAUUGUUUCAUUUAUAAGCAAGCAGUUUCUUGUCUAAAAUCCUAAUAGCCUCUGGCAAAAGUAUUUUAGAGAUACAAUAAGUGGCAUCAAAAUAUUUUAUACUAAAUGAGAAAUAAGAUUUGCACUAGAAACAUUGAAGGGCUACAAGUAAAGAAAAUAAUGAGAUCCUUGAAUAUUGAAUAUGUUGAAAAAUUGACAAUGAACUUGGGUGAGUGUAAAAGAAUCUUUAGUAGCUCUACAAUCAUUAAAUGGAGCAAGUUCAAUUUAAUUGUAGAUAUUUCAGAGUUAUUUCAAGAAAACAUUGGAAAUAAUGUCAAAUAUUUGAAAAGCUACUCAAAAUAAUUCAUUUGAUUUCAUCACAGUAAAAUGUUGGAAUAUGUCUAGACUAAGAUGGAAAAUAAAGAGCAAAAUACAAUAUA
Long non-coding RNA from Aquila chrysaetos chrysaetos, 2771 nucleotides. RefSeq lists it as uncharacterized. The record is from RefSeq and is a predicted model, not a curated record. The transcript is spliced from 3 exons. NCBI's taxonomy places the organism in Eukaryota, Metazoa, Chordata, Aves, Accipitriformes, Accipitridae.